GCCAGGAGUGGUGGUGCAUGCCUUUUAUACCUGACACUAGGGAAGGCUAAGGCUGGUGGAUCCUUUGAGUUAGGGAGUUCUGAGCUGCAACAGAGCUAACACUGAUGCAGUAUCUGUACUGUGUCUAGUGCUAAUACGGUGAGUACUUAGGAGGGGAGGGCCAGGUUUCUUAAAGAGGGGAGGACUAGUCUAGGUUAGAAAAACAGAGCAAGGUUAAGCUUCCACACUUGUCAGCAUUGGGAUUGGGUCCAUGAAUGACUGCUGUACUUCCAGCCCAAACAAGAUAGGAAGUCUCUCUGUCUCU
This 304-nucleotide signal recognition particle RNA is filed under the name Vombatus ursinus (common wombat). Its description in RNAcentral is "Metazoan signal recognition particle RNA (ENSVURG00010023510.1)". It matches the Rfam family "Metazoan signal recognition particle RNA". Rfam says of the family: The signal recognition particle (SRP) is a universally conserved ribonucleoprotein. It is involved in the co-translational targeting of proteins to membranes. The record is from Rfam by way of RNAcentral. Lineage: Eukaryota; Metazoa; Chordata; Mammalia; Diprotodontia; Vombatidae.